AGGAUAAACGCUGGCGGCGUGCAUGAGACAUGCAAGUCGAACGGGGUUCCAUUGGGCUUGCUCGAUGGAACCUAGUGGCGGACGGCUGAGUAACGCGUAGGUGACCUACCCGGAAGUGGGGAAUAACUGCCCGAAAGGGUGGCUAAUACCGCAUGUGGUCGGCGAUUCGAUUCGCCGUCUAAAGGAGAAAUCCGCUUCCGGCGGGGCCUGCGUCCGAUUAGCUAGUUGGUGGGGUAACGGCUCACCAAGGCGACGAUCGGUAGCUGGUCUGAGAGGAUGAUCAGCCAGACUGGGACUGAGACACGGCCCAGACUCCUACGGGAGGCAGCAGUGGGGAAUAUUGCACAAUGGGCGGAAGCCUGAUGCAGCGACGCCGCGUGAGGGAUGACGGCCUUCGGGUUGUAAACCUCUUUCAGCAGGGACGAAGCGAGAGUGACGGUACCUGCAGAAGAAGCGCCGGCCAACUACGUGCCAGCAGCCGC
RNAcentral lists this ribosomal RNA (482 nucleotides) under uncultured bacterium. Its description in RNAcentral is "SSU rRNA". It matches the Rfam family "Bacterial small subunit ribosomal RNA", at positions 26 to 518 of the family's 1533-position model. The record is from RNAcentral.